RNAcentral lists this transfer RNA (67 nucleotides) under bovine gut metagenome. It matches the Rfam family "tRNA", at positions 5 to 66 of the family's 71-position model. Rfam says of the family: Transfer RNA (tRNA) molecules are approximately 80 nucleotides in length. Their secondary structure includes four short double-helical elements and three loops (D, anti-codon, and T loops). The record is from RNAcentral.
GGUGUAGCGCAGUCUGGUAGCGCGUUUGUCUGGGGGGCAAAAGGUCGCGGGUUCGAAUCCCGCCACU